ACUCCUACGGGGGGCAGCAGUGGGGGAUAUUGCACAAUGGGGGAAACCCUGAUGCAGCGACGCCGCGUGGGUGAAGAAGGCUUUCGGGUUGUAAACUUCUUUUGUCAGGGACGAAGCAAGUGACGGUACCUGACGAAUAAGCCACGGCUAACUACGUGCCAGCAGCCGCGGUAAUACGUAGGUGGCAAGCGUUAUCCGGAUUUAUUGGGUGUAAAGGGCGUGUAGGCGGGAAUGCAAGUCAGAUGUGAAAACUAUGGGCUCAACCCAUAGCCUGCAUUUGAAACUGUAUUUCUUGA
Molecule: ribosomal RNA, 296 nt
Filed under: uncultured bacterium
Lineage: Bacteria
Description: partial 16S ribosomal RNA
Rfam family: Bacterial small subunit ribosomal RNA
Source: RNAcentral